UUCCUUCCAGGCUCCGGUGGGUAAUUGGGUUGGUGGGUUUCUGGGUUCUGUCUUACAUUAUUUUGCGGCACGGGAAAUGGGGCUCAGCGGUAUUUUACCAAUUGAGCCACUCUUUUUGACUUUUGAGUCUUGUUAAGCUGCCUAACCUGAUCUCGACCUAUCGAUCCUAUUGUCGUUACCUCCGGAGUCGCUGCCAUUAUAGCCGUUAGGUCGCGCGCUCCAGAUCUCUGUUGUCUUACCUAUUGGCGGGCUGGGAGGGAAGAUCUCCUCCCGGACCUAUUCAGUUACUUCUAUUGGGGCUUUGUGAAGGACAAAAUGGCGGUAGCGGGCCGAGCCAGGCGCCCUCCCAGUGAUGAGGACAUUUUCACAGACCUGUGCUGAAUUCCGUGAGGAUAAGUAACUCUGAGGAGACCGGCGCUGCACAGCUUGUGUCCCCUGCGGCCGUUGCUUGGUAGAAAGCAUUUUUAAAAUAUCCUAUACUAAUCUAAUGUUUUGUCUGCAGGGUUAAGGCGCACAUUCGCCACACAACAAUCGAAGACAGCCCUCUGGUUGGAAUGUGCUUCGGCUCAAAGAUGUGUGGUGUUUGGAGAAUGCACGGAGAUCAUCCCUGCAAUUACAGCGAUCCUCCAUGUAGAGAUCGAACCCAGGGGCACUUAACCAGUCCCAUUUUUGUCUCCACAUCUCAUGACCUAUCCUGAGGAAUUUGAUUAUCUCCAAGAGUGAAUGCAGGGUUUCCUGAUAACGACAAAUUUUUCCAUUUUAUGGAGCAACUCAUUUCCAUAUACUGAUGAAAAUACUCCAGCAUUAGCAGGUGCUGUUACCAAUGUCUACUUACUGGUUCAAAGGUCUAGCAUCUUGUCUGGAUUCCAAGAAUGAUUUGAGAGAAAGCAAGUCAUAUCUGCCUAACUUCAACCUGAAGUUAAAGCCCCCAAGUCUGAGGAAAGGCAAGAUGAAGAUAAAUGCAGGCAUCCAUCCAAGUCUUGGAGGACAUCAGAUUUCCAGAUCUUUCCUUGUGCAUCCUAGCUGUUCAAGUUAACACACAAUCAUUUUGAUCUUCCUAAUAAAGCUCUUUUUCUUAA
Long non-coding RNA from Marmota monax (woodchuck), 1079 nucleotides. RefSeq lists it as uncharacterized. The transcript has 10 exons. Lineage: Eukaryota; Metazoa; Chordata; Mammalia; Rodentia; Sciuridae. The record is from RefSeq and is a predicted model, not a curated record.